RNAcentral lists this transfer RNA (73 nucleotides) under Sus scrofa (pig). It matches the Rfam family "tRNA". From Rfam's summary of the family: Transfer RNA (tRNA) molecules are approximately 80 nucleotides in length. Their secondary structure includes four short double-helical elements and three loops (D, anti-codon, and T loops). The record is from Rfam by way of RNAcentral. Lineage: Eukaryota; Metazoa; Chordata; Mammalia; Artiodactyla; Suidae.
UCCCGGGUGGUCUAGUGGUUAAGGAUUUGGCACUGUCACUGCUGUGACUCAGGUUCACUCCUUGGCCUGGGAA